UACGGAAGGCAGCAGUGGGGAAUAUUGGACAAUGGGCGCAAGCCUGAUCCAGCCAUGCCGCGUGUGUGAAGAAGGCCUUCGGGUUGUAAAGCACUUUUGUCCGGAAAGAAAAGCUUAGGGUUAAUAACCUUGAGUCAUGACGGUACCGGAAGAAUAAGCACCGGCUAACUUCGUGCCAGCAGCCGCGGUAAUACGAAGGGUGCAAGCGUUACUCGGAAUUACUGGGCGUAAAGCGUGCGUAGGUGGUUUGUUAAGUCUGAUGUGAAAGCCCUGGGCUCAACCUGGGAAUGGCAUUGGAAACUGGCUUACUAGAGUGCGGUAGAGGGGUGUGGAAUUCCCGGUGUAGCAGUGAAAUGCGUAGAUAUCGGGAGGAACAUCUGUGGCGAAGGCGACACCCUGGACCAGCACUGACACUGAGGCACGAAAGCGUGGGGAGCAAACAGGGAUUAGAU
RNAcentral lists this ribosomal RNA (452 nucleotides) under uncultured bacterium. RNAcentral's name for it is "bacterial SSU rRNA". It matches the Rfam family "Bacterial small subunit ribosomal RNA", at positions 340 to 783 of the family's 1533-position model. The record is from RNAcentral.